UGAGUAGAGCGGCGGACGGGUGAGUAACGCGUAGGAAUCUACCUAGUAGAAGGGGAUAGCCCGAGGAAACUCGGAUUAAUACCGUAUACCUCCUUAGGGAGAAAGAGGGCCUCUCUUGAUGCUCUCGCUAUUAGAUGAGCCUGCGUAAGAUUAGCUUGUUGGUGAGGUAAUGGCUCACCAAGGCUACGAUCUUUAGCUGGUCUGAGAGGACGAUCAGCCACAUUGGGACUGAGACACGGCCCAGACUCCUACGGGAGGCAGCAGUGGGGAAUAUUGGACAAUGGGCGCAAGCCUGAUCCAGCCAUACCGCGUGUGUGAAGAAGGCCUUCGGGUUGUAAAGCACUUUAAGCAGGGAGAAAAAGUUAUAAGUUAAUACCUUAUAACCGUGAUGUUACCUGCAGAAUAAGCACCGGCUAAUUCCGUGCCAGCAGCCGCGGUAAUACGGAAGGUGCAAGCGUUAAUCGGAAUUACUGGGCGUAAAGCGCGCGUAGGUGGUUUGUUAAGUUGGAUGUGAAAGCCCUGGGCUCAACCUAGGAACUGCAUCCAAAACUAACUCACUAGAGUACGAUAGAGGGAGGUAGAAUUCAUAGUGUAGCGGUGGAAUGCGUAGAUAUUAUGGAGAAUACCGGUGGCGAAGGCGGCCUCCUGGA
This 650-nucleotide ribosomal RNA is filed under the name uncultured marine bacterium. RNAcentral describes it as "bacterial SSU rRNA". It matches the Rfam family "Bacterial small subunit ribosomal RNA", at positions 87 to 733 of the family's 1533-position model. The record is from RNAcentral.